RNAcentral lists this transfer RNA (73 nucleotides) under Sus scrofa (pig). It matches the Rfam family "tRNA". From Rfam's summary of the family: Transfer RNA (tRNA) molecules are approximately 80 nucleotides in length. Their secondary structure includes four short double-helical elements and three loops (D, anti-codon, and T loops). Lineage: Eukaryota; Metazoa; Chordata; Mammalia; Artiodactyla; Suidae. The record is from Rfam by way of RNAcentral.
UCCCUGGUGGCUCAACAGGUUAAGAUCUGGCAUUGUCACUGCCAUGACUCGGGUUUAAUCCCCGGCCUGGGGA